Molecule: long non-coding RNA, 28441 nt
Filed under: Citrus x clementina
Lineage: Eukaryota; Viridiplantae; Streptophyta; Magnoliopsida; Sapindales; Rutaceae
Description: Citrus clementina (C. clementina) long non-coding RNA (CCLE_LNC001065)
Source: RNAcentral
CAUUUGGAAACCAAAUAAACAACGUUAAUAACAAUUUUACAAUAGAAAAAUUAAAAAUUGAUAAAUGGCAGUUGUAAUUUAUGUAUGCGUAAAGAUAGCUUCACAUCCAGGGUCCUCCCAUAAACAUGCUUGUAACAAGAAUUAGUUUGCCUCAACUGCUAGCAACUAUACAAUAGUAAAAAUCACUCUUAUGAACUCAACAAUACUAGGCACCAAUAAGAGUAUGAUACAGCCAUUCUAAAUGGAAGAGAAUACAACUGUUUUACAACUAUGUUGCAUCAGGAGAUAUGUUAGGAGGAUUAAUCCAGAUACCUUCCAACCCAAUUAGGAAAACUCAAGGUCAGAAACCAGGAGCUGCAACCAAACCUUACAAUCUUGAAGGAAGAAGGAGACUUGGGGCAUUUUUCCAGAUAGGUGACUUACAAGAUCUCCUGCCAAGAAAAUAUCUACUGCUUCGAACCUCCAUUGAAAUUUCUUUUCCGUUUUUCUUGUUUUGACUUGGAACUUUCCAGCAUCAUCUAUUUGAUCUUUUUUAAAGCUAAAAUAGCAAUCUAUGGGUUGUCAACAUCUUACCCCCCCCCCCCCCCCCGGGGGGCCCCCAAAAAAAAAACCAAUGAGUUGUCAAUAAAUAGCGCCUACUCAACUUAUGUUCUCCAAUGGAUGACAAUGUGCAAAUCGACCUAGCAGCCACAUUUUUCCCCCCUUUAAACCACCAUUAGGCAACUUUUCUAACCUUUCUUUAUUGCCCACGUCUACAGAACUAUCAUAUAAAGACUACAUUAUUAUUGGGAUAGAGAAAAAAAUACAGACUAUAUUAUUAUUAUAUCUCAUUUUAUUAAUUAACUAGUGCAAGACUUAUUUAGUGUCAAAUCAAGAACUAAUUAGAAAAGACAACUCAUGAUAAUACAGACCUUAAAAAGCAAUAGCUAGGACCACCCCAUGUACUCCUAUUUUAGCCUUCAAUAUCCUGGUAAAAACACAAUUAAGUCUUGCAAAAGAACAUUCACAAGUAAAUUCAACAUUAAUUAAGAUUAAGUAUCUACUGCACCUUCAAUCAAUGACUGGGUGAAUAGCAUGGUCAACCAUCCAGUUCCUGUAGCCCUCCUUGUACCUAUGUUAGUUACAUUUUACAUAUUAAGACACGAAAAUGAAGGAUCACAGCCUGGUAAAGAAAGCCAUUAAUUAAUAGUUUUUGUUUAAAAAGUUCUCGUUUAGAUCUUUCCUAUUCAAUGAAUCAAUGUAAUCCAAGGAGAACUCUUCCAUUUCAAGCAGUGUUAGAAGAUAAUUGGAAAGCCUAAAGAUAAUAUACAAGGACCAAGAUAUCAAUUAGGUCAAAUAGUGAAUGUCAAAUAUAAAAAAUAAAUAAAAGAAGUUGUACAUGAUCAUUUACUAUCAAGUUCUGUAAAACUGAAAAUACCAUUAUCCCUGUAGAGAUUCUCAAACAACUCUUUAGCAAAUUAUAAAAUAAUUAAAAAAAGAACGAAAGUUUAAAAAAAAAAAAUGUACAACAGCCAUAUCAGGAGAUGUUUUUCUUCUCAAUCUCAAUAUUUUCUAGCCGUAAAACAAUUGAAAAGCUUAACACCAAGUGAAUUAUUAAGAAUUCAUCAUUUAAAUUCCCAAAUCGCGAAAUGUUGGUGCAACUAGGAAAGUGCAAAUGCAAUCACUUUACUAACACAAGAAACAUCAAUAGUGAGAAGCCAACUUUGUAUCAAAUUUGAAACAGAUAGAUAGAGGUCAAAAAAAUUAUAAAGACACUCAAUUAAAAGCCUUUCAAACAGCUUUUGCAUGCAACAAGAACAAAUCAAAGGCGAUGUGAAUGUAUUGAAAGACUAAUUUACAAUCAUCUACAGGACAUAAAUAUCUUGGAUAACUACUCUCUAUACCCUACUGUCCCACUGAAAAUCAUCAAAUCCCUCCAAACAAAAAUGACAAAAUGGAUAAGAAUUGUGUGGUCAAACUUCAAUAACUUAGCAGCCAGAGCAAAAACUUAUGUAGACACGCAAGCCACUCAAAAUAGUCAUAUUGUUUGCUUUCCAAACACAAGCCACUUUGUAAUGAAUAUUCAUAAAUUGCUACUACCAUGUUUGUUAAAACACGUGAAAACUACCAUCACUAACUAAAUGUAACUAAUGAUCAUCAUCACGUUCAUGGAAUCACAUGUCUGACAGUAUUAAUUAGUGCAAAUGGCAUGCUUCUUAAAACUCCUUAUUUAUCACAUGGGCGCCAUUCCAAUCAACCAAUGAUUCUGAUCUAGUCAGCAUAUUCAACCUACGAGCCAGUAAUACCUCCAUUGCUUCUUUAGAUUUCUCAACAAAAUUCCACAUUCUAACCAUACUUCUGAACUUGUUGCUCCCAUAGACUAAUACAAUAUAAAGAUUUCUUCCCACACCACCUCAGCCCCCACUCCUAAAAAACCAAUUUAAAUUCUCAUUGACUGUACAACCUAUAGUCCAUACCAAAUUGAAAAACUUACAAAUAUAGAACCUCAAAGAAUCUUCUUGCGUUCCAUUUUUUACAGCAAGAAAAUUGACUUUUACCACAUGCAAGUCAACAAAUAAAACAAUCAUGUCUUUGUGAGAUGCACAUUUUCAGACGAAUCUGAAGAACAAUGAAACCAUAAAAACCUAAUAUGAGAACACUGAGGACUCCAGAUAUCAUCUAUAGAAUCUUUGGUCCACCCUUGCAUAAUGAAAAAAAAUUGAAGGCUUCGUCACCAACUCCCCAGGUUGUUUUGUUCUCCUAUCUCCUAAAUCUAAAGGAAAGGCAACCCGUUCAUUUUCCAAUCUUAAGGGGCACAGAACGACUCUGGUAUAAAAUAGUCAGUUUCUAUACAAAAAUAACUCCUUUGCACUUGGCAUUCCACAUCUCGAAAUAAAAAGCAUGCAAGGAGGAGAAUAUAAUAGCAUUAAACAAGUUUUAUUAACCAAACUUCAAAGAUGCCAGACAAGGCAAAAAAGGAAUCUGUACAAGCCAGAUCCCAAGAAUAAUAAUUCCAAUAUACAAUUCACGAAAACAAUAACUAAAACCAUGUUCAUCAGGCCUCAGCAGAAGCAACAUGUAAUAGCCAUACUCUAUUAUUUGAAACACAUUUCCAAGUUUGGAAAAGAUUCUAAACUAUUCUCGAUCUGUCAAUUAUUAACAUGUAAAACAUAAUAAUAUACGCUUAAACUACUACAGUAGUAAAACCAGUAAAACAACAAUACCUGCUAAAAAGAUUUGCUACCUCUUCACAUUCGCGAGCAUUGUAGAACCAAAUCCCAUUUACUUCUUGGGAUGCAUUUCGAUAUAACAAAUACGGAACCUGAACUUCAAACUCAAAAUCUCCCAAAAGAUUUUUCACUAAAUUAUCUGCACAUAUCCAAGAUAUUGAAGCUUCUCAGUGCAAAAACAUAUGCAAAAAGACAUGAAGGUUAGGAGACAUAACUAAAACUUAGCAACAACUGAUAAGCACAACAAGAAAUGAAAUAUAACACGAGUUGUAAACAAGAUAGACGCACGGUAUCUAAAUAAUUGUACCAACCCCCUCUCCUGAUUGUCAUAAAACGGCCAAUAUUUAACGCUAGACAACAACAUGGCAAAUACUCUAGCCUCUAUAUUAUUGGCAUAUAAAUAUUUUCGGUUGGGUACAUUAUAUUCUUCGUUCUAAAACCUCAAUCAUUAGCUAGUACUGUGAUAAAAUGAUUCAUCACUGAAAUUAAAACUAGUUCACGUACAAAUAAUCAAAACUGAAAUAGAAACAAGGACAAACCAACCCGUAUUACGUCGAUUCAUUACAACAAACUGAAAUCGAGGCUGUGUGUUCCUGAAAAUUGAAAAAAUAAUAAUUUCACCAACUUCAUAUGUAAUACAAUCUCCAAAACAACGAAUAUCAAAUGAAAAAAUGGAAAGCAUAAGAGAGAAAAGAAUCUAAUUUUAUUGACCUUUUGACGACGAAGAGAGAUCCUUCAACAUCCUUAUGACUCCAUUGGCUGAGGUCGAUGUUGAACUCGUAGAAGGUGACAUGAGCGGCCGUGAUGAGGAUCUCCUCAAUGAAUGGAUCGAUUCGCUGAAGAACUGUCAGGUUUAGGAGUUUUGUGCUCUGCUGGUCCAGAUUAGCCAUUAAUUUUCCGUUCUGCGACAUUUUUCAUAGUCCUUUUGGGCUCUGCCCCGAGCACAAGCGCCAUGGUUUUUCUGUGAGCUCUCUCUUUUGUAAAUAAAGUGUUUGAUGAGAUAGCCGAGAGAGAGUGAAAGAGUUGAGACUCGAGAUUGAUCUUGCUUUAACUUCUUUCAAACAUUUGGGAAAUAGCAUUUAGACCCCAAAAUUAGAUUUAUUAUAAUCAUUUUUUACCCGUACACUAUUAAUCCCUUUUAUUUUUUAAAUUGUCAAUAUUAAUGUAUUAGAAUAAUGUUAGAAAUCCCAAUUAUUAUCUCAAUGUUUCAAUCAUAACUAAUGUGAUAACUCAUCGGUGACUGUAACAUUAACCUAAUUAUUAAUGUUUAUCAUGAAAUGAUGAGAUUAUUAUUCAAGAAAAACUUAGUAAACAUCAAUGACUAAUAUAAUAUGACAAUUACAGCUGAAUAUUAGUACAAUAAUUAGGAUCCCUAAAGUUAGUGAAUGUAUUAUAAUAUAUGUGUGUUACACUAUUUUAUGUCUCUCAAAUUCAAUUAAGUAAUUUCAGAGACCUAACCUUUUAUUACAUUAAAUUAAGAAUGUAUACAUGAACAAAAGAUGUGCAGUUUUUGUUUUAUUUUUCACUAUUAUUUGCCAUUCAUCUACGUACGUCACUUGAUUUUUUGCGAUUAAUAUGCUUAAAUGGAUCUCUUUGAUAUAAAUAAAAUAAACGAAAAGUCUAAGAGAAAAAAAAAAUGAGGACCGAAAUUAUUACACCUACAACAAAUUUGCCCAGAGAGCAAUAAAUCAAACUUGCUUAGGAAGUUCAACAAUGAUUAGUUAAUAACUAAAAGAGCCUUCACCUAACAUGUUAAAGCUUCCGUCAAGCACAAACCCAUUGAAAGCUGUUUAGGUCCGUUUUCGAUCAUCGGAAAUUUGACAAAAUCAUAAAAACCCUCAUCUUAGAAAUUCCAAGCAUCAGGCAAUAGUCCGACUUUAUUGAUAUUGAGAGUAACACAAUAAAAGUUUCGUACAGAUUUUGCAAACGAAAAGCACAUAAUACACUUAACUAGGUGGAAAAAUUAAAGUGUAUGUAUUACAAACUGCUAACAAUAUACAAUAGUAAAAAUCACUCUUAUGAACUCACAAAUACUAGGCACCAAUAAGAGUAUGAUACAGCCAUUCUAAAUGAAAGAGAAUACAACUGUUUUACAACUAUGUCACAUCAAGAGAUAUGUUAGCAGGAUUAAUCCAGAUACCUAGGGAUGGCAACUGGAUCGCUCUAUAAUGGAUAUCCACAAUAUCCAUCCAAUUGGAUCGGAUAAUAUCCAUCCAAAAAUUUUUAGAUUUUGAAAUGGAUAUUUUAAAAUUAUAUCCAAAUGGAUAUGGAUGGAUAUAGAUAAUUAUUUUUACCCAAUGGAUAUCUAUUUAACCCAACACAAGUUUAAAAAAUUUUAAUUUUAUAAAAUAAAAAAUAAAAAAUAUAAUAAACAAACAAUUGUAAAAAUAUUAUAUUAACUAGUGAAAAUUUUAAAUUCAUCUUAUAUUAAAAACUAAAGUUUUCAAAAUUAUCCUUUAAUUUUUUAACUUAUUUAAUAUUAUUAAAAAUUAUUAUUUUAUUUUAUUAAUUUAAUAUUAUAAAUGGACAUCCACCGGAAAGUCACCGGACCUCCUCCGGAAUUCACCGGAAAGUUGCCGGACCACCGUCGACUUCGCCGGAAUUCGCUGGAAAGUUGCCGGACCACCGCCACCAACCACCAGACCGCCAUUUUAUAUAUAUAUAUAUAUAUAUAUAUAUAUAUAUAUAUAUAUAUAUAUAUAUAUAUUAUUACUAAUAUAAAUAGUUUAAUAACCAAAUUUAAUAUUGGAAUUUUAAUUAUUUUAUAUUAUUAUUUUUAUAUAAUAAAAAUAAAAUAUCCAUAGAUAUUCAUGGGUCUCCAUAGUUAUAUGGAUAAAAUCUAUAUCCAUGUCCAAUAUUAAAUACUGGAUAUGGAUAUAGAUAUAUCCAUUAUCGAUAAUUAUGGAUUUGUGUUUGGAUGGAUAAUAUCCAUCCAUAAUUGAAUAUUUGCCAUCCCUACAUAUACCUUUGAACCCAAUUAACCAACUCGAGUCAGAAACCAGGGGCCCCCAACUGAACCUUACAAUCUUGAAGGAAGAAGGAGACUUGUGGUCCAGAUAGGAGACUUACUAGAUCUCCUGCAAAAGAGAAUAUCUAUUGCUUUGAACCUCCAUUGAAAUUUCUUUUUCUCUUUUUCUUGUUUUAACUUGGAACUUUCCAGCAUCAUCUAUUUGAUCUUUUUUGAAGGUAAAAUAGCAAUCUAUAGGUUGCCAACAUGUUAUUCUGCCAAACCCCACCCCCCGGGGGACAACAAAUAGUGCCUACUCAACUUAUGUUUUCCAAUGGACGACAAUAUGCAAAUCGACCCAGUAGCCACAUUUUUCCUCCCUUUCAACCACCGUUAGGCAACUUUUCUAACCUUCCUUCAUUGCCCACACGUACAGAACUAUAAUAAAAAGACUACAUUAUUAUUGGGGUAGAGAAAAUAUGCAGACUAUAUUAUUAUUACAUCACAUUUUACUAAUUAACUAGUGCACGACUUAUUUAGUGUCAAAUCAAGAACUAAUUAGAAAAGACAACUCUUGAUAAUACAGACCUUAACAAGCAAUAGCUAACAACAUCCCAUAUACUCUUAUUUUAGCCUUCACUAUCCUGGUAAAAACACAAAUAAGUCUUGCAAACGAACAUUUAUAAGUAAAUUCAACAUUAAUUAAGAUUAGGUAUCUACUGCACCUUCAAUCAAUGACUGGGUGAAUAGCAUGGUCAACCAUCUAGUUCCUGUAGCCUUCCAUGUACCUAUGUUAGUUACAUUUUAUAUAUUAAGCCAUGAAAAUGAAGAACUCUUCCAUUUCAAACAGUGUUAGAAGAUAUUUGCAAAGCCUAAAGAUAACAUACGAGGACCAAGAUAUACACAGAUAGUUUCUUUACGGGACUAAAGAGCUUUUUUAGAUGUUAAAACUGUUUCAAACUCUUUUUCUUGUUUGGUUUAACUAAGGAAGAGCUUGUGGAAGAUUAAAAAUGAUGUUUCCUGUUCUCUGUAGGAAGCUUUUAGGAGAUUUUUUGGGUUUUUUUGAAAGGUUGAAUUGUCAAAAAUACCUUGAUGUUAUUGUUUGCUAAAAGAUGUUAUGGACAACUAAACAACCAACAACAUUUUGUUAAAAGCUCUACUAGUGUAGGAUCUACUUAAAGAAGCUAUACCAAACAGAUUCUUAGACUAAAUAACUCGAUCUUAAGUUUGUAAAAUUGGGCUCAGAAUCUCCACUAACAACCCCGCUUCGGUGAGAAAGCCCAAGCCUGUUACUUUGUAUAACCUUAUUCUGUAUGUUUGAUUGCAGGAACUGGCCGAUCAUACCGACGAGGUGAGUGUGCAACAUGAGGUGCUUGACGGGAUGUUUACUUUCUAUGAUACAACUAAAGCUAGCCUCAACAUAUAUCAGGUGCCUGCUUGUUUUUACCUUCUAGAUACUAAUAUUGUUUAGACGUGUAAUCUCUCUCUCCAUUGAACGCUAGACGGCUCGUCUCAAGCCUUCUACGUACAUCAGAGUCCUUCUUUAGCUUUUUAUGUAUAAAGUUUUGAUCUUUUUCCUUCAUUUGCUUGAAGCUCAUUACUGCAGAUUUUUUUUACAGGUUGCUAGUGUAACAUUCGACUUGCUGUUGCUUCUAGUGUUGGGAUCGUAUUUAAUUGUGCUUUUCAGCUUUCUUGUCACAACAACUUGGGUAUUACUCUUUCUCCAUAUCAAGCUUGAAGUUCUAAAUUUCAGUUUUAUCUUUUAUUUGAUGUUUUAUAAUUUCAUUGCAAACAGAUUAGAAUAGAAACUUCAAAAGUUCCAACUGACUAGUCCCGUGUAACUUUUUCAGGGAAUAUUUUCUCUCAUAACAACUACGAAUGUGUUAUGGUUUAGCUCAGUGACACAAAGGAUAGAAAAUCUAAGAUGCGAAAAAUUUUUGUUGAGAUUCAUUUUUCAUCCUGAUGUUACAGCUGGCCUUUUUUUUUUUUUUUGGCAGAGAAUAAUGCUUGUGUGAUUUCUGAACUUGGUGAUUGUUGAAAUGAGCUGAAAAUGAGCUGGAAAUGUGUUUGGUUAAUGAGAAAGAGAGCAAGAAAAUGAAAGAAAUCUAUUUCACUUUUUAUUUAUCAGCAUGAUUACAUUCACAAUAAAUCUAAGCUGCUAUUUAUACUUAAAUGAAUACACACGAGAAUCUUCUUGCUAGAUACUUCUAGAAACUCUACACGCACACUCACAUUGAGCUAGUGGUUACUAAAACCGUUACAACGAUAUUGCCAGCUCAGCAUAACCAACUUAUAACUAACACACUCAGCUGCAGGGGAAACCAUCAAGCUUACUGUGCAUCCUCUGUACUCAAGCUUCUUUAAGCAUGCUCUGCAGAUCAUACUCAAGCUUUUUUUUUCAUAGAAGUUGCAAUCUUUACGUUAUAUACUAGUUUGACUAGGCUAUAUAAGGAAGCUAUAUGAAAUUAGAAAAAUAAGCUAUACUAGGAAAGAAUAAAUAUAUGUACAGAAAAUUAGGCUAUAAUCUCUGACUUUAAACAAAUUUAAUAUCAAUUUUCUUCUGGAAGUUGUCUCGCAUGGGGCGCAUCAGUAUUGUAACGUCUGAUGGGUCUUACAUUAUCCACAAAAAUAACUCGUCCAUCUAGUACCUGCAAGUACAUACUCUGAGAUGCUUAAACUCAACAAUAUAAGCAUGGAAAAUUAGAGAAAAAUGAUGCAAUUUUACCUUCCCAUUCAUGUCUGCCGAGGCUUUUUGGGCUUCCUCUUCUGUACUGAAAGUCACAUAUCCGUAACCUUUUGAUCUAUUCUUACCUUUAUCCAUUAUUAUUGUAGCUGCAAACAGAAAAGAAUCGGAUAUUACAAAAUAGUGAAGAGGGAAGAGGGGUUGAGACUUAAAACAGAAAUAGACCAAACCCUCAGUGACGUGGCCAAAUUGUGAAAAAGCAUCAGCUAACAUUUCUUUAGUGGUUGAGAAAGAUACGCCUGCAAAGGAUGCCAGUUAAUUUUAUCAUAAUUUUAGAUGGUAAGAUUGCAAAUUCUGCAGCCAAAGGUAGUACGGAACUGAAUGAAGGAAAUCAAAUAUGAAUAUGUUUUCAAUCUCAGAAUAUUAAGAGUAGCAUAAGUAACUUGUGAAACAGUUACAAGUUCAACGGAAUUAACUGAUGGCAUGGUUGAAUUUUGUAAAUAUUUGAUAUUUUGAACCGAACACGGCAAACAGAUGGAUCCAGAUAAUCAAGAAAAACAUCAAUUCCAUGCAACCAAAUUAGUGUGGGCAAUGCAAUUGAGCAACACUAUAAAAUUAUUCAAAGAAAUCUCUAGGUCAGUAUCCAAAUAUAUUUCUGAAAAUGUUUUUUUCUCAUUAGCGCCGCCAUUUUUGUAAUAGAGGGUAAAGAAAUAAGUAACAAAGUAAGAGGUGAGCAGAAGCGGCCCAAUUUAGCUAUAUGCCAUGCAUGCGAUCAAAAUUGAACGGUUAAAUGGCAGCCACUAUGUUACAUCUUGUGUAAGUAACAAACCGCCUACAUGGAUCGUUGGAUUUGGGAAUAUGAAAUCCAAUGGAUAAUAUUGAAUUUAACGAAAAAUAGAUUACAGGUUGCAUUAGUCCAAGUUUAUUUCAAACAAACCAGCUGACGAAAUAGCCGCUAAUCAAAUUUAAAAGGGAAAAAAAAAUCAAAUUAUAGGUUAUAGAUCUUAUUUCCAUCUUAAAUCUAUGUCUUUCGUGGUGACUCAAUUUGUAAACUAAUUUAUAAUUUGGAUCUAUAUUAGAGCUAAUGCUUCCCUAAAUAACUAAGAAAAUUUUCUUUUCAUUGAUUAAAUAUUUAUUUCCAAUAUCUUGUAUAUGUAGGAUUUGAAAAGAGGGAAAAUAGUAGGGAUGAUAAUGAGAGAAGAUAGAGAUGUCGAUUCUCAAAUCUAAUAUUAGUGCUAUACUUAUAUUCCUAUACUAAAUAAAUUAUCCAAGGUUCGUGCUUAACGAUACGUUGCAAAAUUUUAAUUUCUAUUUAAAGCUCUGUCUAAUAUGGCUUUUCAUAAAGCUUAGAGAAAAGUAGAGCUUUUACCAAAAAAAAAUUAAUUAGAAUUGUCAAUGAUAAAUUUUAAAAAGUACUUUAAUAAAUAAGCUUUUAAAGUUAUAUAUAUUAUGAAAGAAAUGAAAUAAGAUUAUAUAAUAAAUUAAGAGUAUCUUAGAUAAUUGAACUUUAAAAAAAAAACUCGCUAAGAGGUUUAAAAUUUGAGUUUUAAUAGUGGAUACAAAAUAGUUUAUUUAAUUCUCAAAAGCUCUACUCAAAAUAGUUUAUUUAAUUCUCAAAAAAUAUUUUUUUCAUUGAGUAAAUAAUACUAAACAUGCACUAAAGUGUUAGGACCAGAAGUUGUACAAAAAAUGAUGGCUACAACUUAAAUUAUGAAUGGAGUAAUCGGAGAAUAUUGAAACCCGUUUAAUUUGGAUCGUGCAUUGAGGGACGAAAGGAUAAAAAAUUUAAUUUUGAAAUUGCUGUUGGGUACGGUACAAUGACUUACCGUUGACAGCUUUUGCAACCGGAUUACAAUCGGUUAGUUCAAUAAUUUUAUAUCCCCAUUUAACCGCCACGUGCUGCUGUUACAUGGGUCAAUUAGUCAUGUCAUUACUGUUACUUACAGAUGCCGUAACAUAACCGGACCCUGGUUAAAUUCUGUUGUUUCCAAUAAUUUUAUGCUGUAUCUUCUUUAAUAAUAAAGAAAACUUGCAUUAAAAUUAAAAUUAGGGUAAUACCUGAUUUUAUAAAUAGAUUGCAAUGUAAUUUUGAAAAAUAAAACAAUAAUUUACAAAAUGUUUAUAACAUAAUUUUAAUUUUUUUUCAAAAAGGAAAAAGAACAAAAGUAAGAAAUAGAGAAUUAGGGCUACAAACUUUGUAUCUUAAACGGCCGUUAGAUUAUUUGUAAAUGAAAGCAACGGUCAGAUAUUGGUGGAUUAUGGAAACAUGUAAUCAUAAGGACUGUGAGUUUUUUUUGUUACAUUAAUAUAUUACAAUCAAAUUCUAUUAGUAUUUACAACUAGAAUUUCAUUUGACUAUCUUUGAUAAUUCUAAACUAGUACAACCCAAAUUCUUAUUCUCACAUAAUAUCAAAGAGAGAUAUAUAUUCUUCUCCUCUAUUAAUAAAGAGACAUUUUUAUUUCCUUUUAAUAGUUAGGACUCAGAACUCAUACACGCUAGUUUGAGAGUGUUGGGUGUGACAAUGAGCCAGGAGACCAUUGACAAGUACAAAAGAGUGGUAGAAAUUAAUUCAAUCCGCUACACACGCUAUUGCAACCAAAUUGAGGGCCCAUUUUUGUUUAUUUGGUUGAAAAAUAGUUUGCAUAAUUAAUUCAAACCGCUACACACGCUAUUGCAACCAAAUUGAGGGCCCAUUUUUGUUUAUUUCGUUGAAAAGCAGUUUGCACAAUUAAUUCAAACCGCUACACACGCUAUUGCAUCUUUUGAAAAAGAAAAACAGAAUAGUUUUCUAAAAUUAAUUCCGAGAAGAAGAUUAACUAAUAAUGAUGUUAGAAAUUUUAAUAUUUGAGUCUUAAUAUUAUGUAUCACUCAUUUAUUAAAUAAUAGAUUUCAUAAUUUAUAAAAUUACUUAACCACUUGAUAAAUGUUAUAUUUGUUGGGACUAAAUUGGGACUUAAAUGUUGGAAUAUCUAGUAUUGCAUUAAAAAAUAAAUAAAAACAUAACAAUUUAUCUUCACUUGACUAAUUGUUUUUACAUCACAACUAACCUUAAUUAUUUUGAAAGUUACAGUAUUAUUAAAUUGUCCUAACUGGUUAUCAAAAGUUGAAGCAUGUUAAAAUAAAAAAAAUUACCAAGAAACAUGUGCUUAAACAGAGGUUAAGGCUAUGAACAAUUAAGAAGAAACUCUUAAUUUGGUCCCAGUUAGUAUAAUAAUCAUCUAUUGAGCGGUAAAAUAUUAAUUUUAAUAGUGAUGAAAUCCAAUAUAUAAUAGAUUAAUAACACACAUAAAUUAAAACUUAACUGUCAGAAAUCAUAACAUUACUCUACUCUUCAGUAGAGUUCUCUUAACAGAUUAUGUGAGAUUGCCUACAUUAAAAAUAGGUUAAGACUGCUUGUUGAAAGCAAUAUUCGCUUUUUCAUUAUAUCCAUAACUUUGUUGGGUCCCUCUAUGGUGCCGUAAUUUUUUUUACGGUAUUAAUAGUGUAACAAAUUUGUACCAUUAGAUAUAAUCAACGGUACACAUUAUUUUUAAUAAUGAAAAUAUUUAAUUAUUUCACAAAUGUUAUAACCGGUUAACAAACCGGUUGCAAAACCUAUUUUAAAUUUAAAAGGAAAGAAAAUAGAGAUAUAAUAAAACUCAAUCUCCUUCUUUAUCUCAUAAAAUUCGUAAUCUGUUUAUCUCCUUUGUUGUUGUAUUGAAAUUGGAUUCCUCAAUGCUGUCUCAGUUCACAAAUGAUUAAUCGUGUCAAAUCGUAAGCUUGUUCUUAUCGUUCAACUUUUUCUCCAUUUAUUGCCACAUUUAUUUGAUAGGUAGGCUUUUAAAUUUAUUGCUCGAUGGUGACAUUAGACAAGGAAUCACAGAUUUGAUGUUCUUUGUUGUACUAAAUUCAUAUCAAAUCUUGCUUUGAUGCUAUAAUAUAUUUAGUUACUACCUUACAUUUUCUUUUUUCACAUUUGAAAACAAAUUCUUUUUAUUCAUAGGAUUACAUAAAGUGCGCAGCCCUGAAGUUUGAACUUCAAAGGAUAAAGUUGCAUUGCAGCAUGUUAAGCAGCAAAGCUUCUUCACUGCAUUAGAUAGAAGACGGUGAAUCAAGUGCAGCCAAGACUUGGCUGAGUCAGCAAUUAACCACCAAUCGUUUAAGAAAGAGGGGCAAAGCAAGUUGAGGCCCACUUAUUAAUCUUAGCCUCUGAUUCCAUUCUCCUUUUCUCCGUCCUGAUUUGAUUAUCUCCAGCAGUGACGCUAAAGGUUAAACUGGCAUGAUCUUGCCCACAUAUAAAUGUAUUUUUUUUUUUUAGGAUCUGAAGGGGCAAAUUUUUUUUUCAAGUUUGUUAUAUGAUCUUUUGUGAAGACCUGAAGAUACGAGAGUCAGAUUAAUAAUUUUGUCUCUCUUAGGCUUUAUGCAGUGGGAAUGAACUUUCUCUCUUUUAAUUCUCUGCCAUUUUCUCAAUGAAGGCAGCAAGAGAAUAUUCAGUCUUUCAAAGUCUCAACAUUCAUAAUUUGGCCAGUCUAGUUGUUUACCUUGCAUCUGCUGGAGUAUUAUAUCGCCAAGAGAUUUUUCCGUUGCACUUUACGAAUUUAUAUUAUUUUGAGGAGGGAAUUCAGCUAACUAUUAAUAUCAUACAAUUGAAAUUUAAAUGUCGGUCUUUAAAUUCUAAAGAUUAAAGACAAGCCUAAUAUGAAAAUACAGAUGUUAAAAUCUUCAUUUUUGUUUAUUGAUACUUUAUUUGUUAGUAUCAUAAUUUUAGAGAUAUAUUUGAUGUUACAUGAUUGACUAAAUAUUAACAUUAAAAUGCAGAUGGAAAGAAAAAAUGAUGGAGGGCUCCAUAAAAGCAUAAAAAGAAACGGAGAUGGUGAAGCAAACUUUCGAAAUUGCAACCAUGAGAAGGAAUUGACAAAGCUUAAUGAAAAAAUGGAUGGGAUGACAUUUAAUCUUGUCGCUGUCAGGCAUGAACUUGGUGAGCUGAAGAGGAACAAUUUAGAUACUUAUGCAUUGGUACAAAAAAUGUAUAGUGUAGUUGAAGCACUUGAACGUAAUAUAACUCAUAUGCAAUCACACGCAUGGAAGGAAAAGAUGAACUCUUCUAGUAAAGAUGUUCAAAAUAGUAAAAAUGAAUCAAGUGGUCAAAAUUUCGUGGAAAAGGGAGAUGAGUUUGGGGUGAAGAUCGCAGAGAUUAAGGACAAGAUUGAAGACGCAUGUGAUGAAAAUUUAUCAUUGAAAAACUUAUUUGUGUAUAGGAAACAAAAAGAGAACCAAAUCUUCCACAAUGUUGUUAAAAAGGUAUGAUAAUAAACUAUUAUUCUACAUUUUUUUUUCAAAAAUAUUUGUAUAGCACAUUCAUUAAACAAAAAAAUAAUAAUAAUAAAAUUCAUGUUCUUAUGCAUGUAGGAUAAAGCCAUGGAUGCAGUUGAUUUUGUGGAUUUGGUAUCAUCGGUGGAAGUAGAUGCAAUUGAGGAUAAAAAGGUGCGUCCUCGAAAGCCCAGUCGUUAUAAAAAAUCUCCUUAUGAAAAUUUUACAAAAAAAAAAGGCUAUCGCAAGAAGGAGUUCGAUUUAUCCAAACAUGGAGCUUCUUUUUCGGAGGAAGAAUGGUAUAUUUUACAGUAUAUUUUUCAUGAACAACUAGAUAAAAGGUAUGGAACUAUUUAAAUAUAAUCAUAUUUUAUAUGUUUGUAUUUUGAUGUUAUUAUUUGUUUUAAUUAACUAUUAAUGUGAGUGUAUAACUUAUGCAGAGAGAAAAUUGUAAUGACAAAACGACAUAUUGUUACCCGCUUCUUAAUGUCUUCUUUAGCUCCUAAUGUUUGGAUAUUUGAUGAGGUAUAUUGUGUUAGUGUGUGUGUCUAAUAUUCAGAGCGUAAUAAGAUUAUAUGUAUUUAAUUUAUAAUUUAUUUUUCAUUUGGUAGUGCAUGUUUUAAUAAUAAUGUUGUGAUGAUUUUAUUCAUAGAUCAUAAGUUGCUAUGCUGAGUAUUUAACUAGAAAGGAGAGUUUGAAGCAAGAUAAUGAGACUCGAAAUUGGUUUUUACCAACUCUUUUUGGGGUAUGUUAUAAAUUUUUGUUGUUACAAAUAUAUAAUAUGCUUUUACAAAAAAAUUAGAAUUUUUUUAAAAUUAUAUCUUACCAUCUUCAUAUAAUUAUUAAUUUAUGAAUGUUGUAGCAAAUAGUGGCGAAUGUGUCAGGUGUUUCAACUAUUGAUAGAUCAGAGAUUGAAAUUUCGGUUCGUAAACAUAACAUUUGUGAAUUUUACAUGGGUGCACUCAAAAGAUGUGAAAAGGUCAGGAAUAUUAUCAUAUGUUCAAAAAACAAAAAAAUUUAUUUACUCAAAUAUCAUAUGUUUUAUUAUUAUCAUUUGAAGGGAGUAAUGAUUAAUACAAAAUUAGUGUAUUGUUGCACAGAUAUAUGUUCCUCUUUAUGACGGGCUUGCAAAACAUUGGUAUCUUGUAAUAAUGAAUAUAAAAGAUAAGACUGCUGAGAUUUGGGAUUCUUUGCCUAAUUCUGAAAUAGAACCAAAUCAUCGUCAAGAAAUCGUUAAGCAAAAUGUAAGUUCAAAUUUUUUAUUUGUUUAUAUGAAAUUACUAGAUGCAAUAUAUAUUAACUAUCAUUAUUAUUAUGCAGUACAUGCAUUGGNNNNNNNNNNNNNNNNNNNNNNNNNNNNNNNNNNNNNNNNNNNNNNNNNNNNNNNNNNNNNNNNNNNNNNNNNNNNNNNNNNNNNNNNNNNNNNNNNNNNCCUAGUCUUGCUUCGUGAUAUAGCCUUUAACUUUCCUUCUGAUUGGGUAUUUCGUUGACUUUGACAUUUUAUAUCCAAAUAAUGUGCCAAUUCAACCAAAUGGAAAUGAUUGUGGCUUGUAUGUGAUGAAGUUUAUGGAGACUCCAUGUGAGAUGUUAUUCCCAACUUAUAAGGUAACUUAAUCAUACAAUUUAUAUUUCUUAGUUUGCACAAUACUUUAAUCAAUAUUAAAUUGUUAUUAAUUCUAUUAUAUGCAGUAUGAAUCGGAUGAAGAAAGAUUUCGUCUUGCGCUACUCCUUGUAAAUGGUGAUGCAAAUGAAGUAAGAGAUAGUGUUAUACAAAAAGCACUAUCAUUCCGUGGUCCUAAGACGAAUGUUAUUGCAACUAGUAAAGUUAGAACUAAAGUUGCUUCUCAAAAAAAACAUCGUUCAAUUAAUAAAGUUAGAACUGUAAUUGGUACUGGAGAAUAUUUGAAGAAACCAGGAAGAAAAUCCAAUUGAUCUGCCUAGUAGAGGUUUAAUAAAUUUGGUAUUGGACGUAAUUUGUAUUUUGUCACUUUUAAUUUUUUUGUCCCCUCAAUUGAAUUUUAUAUUCAAUGUAAAGUUUUUAUUUGGAUUACUUAAUUUUCUUUUUUAGUUUUUAAGUUUUUGGAUUACUCUUUAUGAAAAUUUUGUGUCUUGUUACUUUCAAUUUUUUUUGUCCCCUUUAAUUGACCUUUGUAUUCGAUGUAAAGUUUUUAUUUGGAUUACUCAUUAAGUUUUGUUAGCUUUUGAGUUUAUGGUCUCUUCCAAUUAAAAACUUUCAAAAAAUAAUAGCCUGCUUUUUUUUUUUUUGUGUGUGUUUUAAGUUCAGCCUACAAGUGAAUGACUGUAAGUCGUUAACUAAAAAUCUAAAAAUGUCAAAUGUCAAAUAUUCUUCCGCUUCUCAUCACCUUCUUUUCCAACCUAUAAUAUGCCAAACAAAAAUGCAUCAAUAAAAAUAAAUUUAGAUAACAGCUAAAAUAUUCAACCUUUGUAAGAAUUAUCCUAAUAUAAAUAUACCUCAUUAAGUACUGGACAUUUGCGUCUAUUGUGUCCAGGUAAUUUGCAAUACCCACAUUUUUUCAAAUUGACGCCUUUAUUAAAUCUUGCACUAGGAGCACCUUUCGUCUUCACACUUAAUGGAUCUUUUAUAAUAGCAACAUUUCUCUUCUCACUGGACCAUCUACCUCUUUUCUCUUCAAAAUUCCCACUCAACUCUAACAUUUCAGACUUAAGUUGUGUGAUAAGACCCUUUAAUUUCAAGUAUCCAGCAUCUGUCAUCGAGGCAUAGAAAAAUGUGUCUAGUUACAGAAGAAAUUUACAGAAUCAAAUUUUGACUUCGCUUCUUAAAGAUAUUCACGAUUUAGUGCACAAAGGUCACAACCGUCUAGAAACCACACAAGAUCCGAUGUUUCUGAAUUAACUGAUAUCAAUUAACAAGGAAUAAAAUUAAAAACUAUAUAUCUAUAGAAAGAUUUAUUUUUCAGGAGUUCAAAUAAUUUUACGGUUUUCUAUUUGAAGUUUUCUACAUGAAGAUAUGGCUUAAAGAAUGCUGACUGCUCAAAAUCACUGAAGCAACCAAGUCUAUGAUUAUCAGAAAACUUGCAUGAUUAAACUGUACUGAUCUAGAAUAUAUGAGAUUGCAUACUAUAUAUUUUUUGAUAGAUAAAUAUGUCUAGUUACAGAAGAAAUUUACAGAAUCAAUUUUCGACUUCGCUUCUUAAAGAUAUUCACGAUUUAGUGCACAAAGGUCACAACCGUCUAGAAACCACACAAGAUCCGAUGUUUCUGAAUUAACUGAUAUCAAUUAACAAGGAAUAAAAUUACAAACUAUAUAUCUAUAGAAAGAUUUAUUUUUCAGGAGUUCAAAUAAUUUUACGGUUUUCUAUUUGAAGUUGUCUACAUGAUGGCUGAUGUGUUUCAGCAGAUAUUACAAGAGGAAAUAUAUCUUCUCCCAGUGAUGGUUUUGAGAGAUCGUCCAACUCAUAGAAGCCUAAGUCGAUGCCUGUUCCCGAAGGCUGACGAAACUUCUGACCCAAUCCUUUCUUAAAGGGAAUUUUUGCCGGCAUAUAAGCUUCAGGAAACAGUGGAACAAACUUACAGUUGGGCUCUUCCUUGGCAAAGUAGAAAACAGUGAUGCUGCAGAUAAGAAAAGAAAAUAAAGAGAUAUGGCUUAAAGAAUGCUGACUGCUCAGAAUCACCAAAGCAACCAAGCCUCUGAUUAUCAGCCAAAUUCCAUGAUUUAACUGUAUUGAUCUAGAAUAUAUGACAUUACAUAAUAUAUAUGUUUGGAUAGAUGAAUGUAUCUAGUUGUGGAAGAAAUUUACAGAAUCAAGAUAGACUAAUAAUAACUUAAUAUUAACAAAAUUUUUAUUGUACAUGUUAUUUUAUCAAUUAUAUUUAUUGUAACACUUUAUUUGUAUCAUAUGAUUUUUAUUUGUUAUUUUUAUCCUAUUACUAUAUUUAUAUUUAUUUAGAUUGAUUUAGUCAAAAGGUAUAAUAGUCAUUUAGGAAAUUAAGAGGGUCUAUGUGACUAUUUAUGAAACUAAAGGAACAUGUAUAAUUAUUUUAGCAAAUCUUAGGGGUGUGGGUGGUUUUUUCCGAAAUUAAUAUUGAUUUAAAAUUAAAAAAUUAAUAUUUACCUGUAACCUGUAAGUUACCUGCUCUAUUUUAAUUAAUUAUCUAAUUAUCUAUUAUAUUAAAUGAAUGAUUCAGAUUAAAACUCUUAUAUCUAAGGGUCCACAUUAGUUCCACUAUCAAUACUGUAAAAAUAAAUACAGCAUCAUAAAGAAAUCCAACUUUGAAUUGAUAAAGUUGUAUUCAACAGCUCUUGAAAAGACUAAGCUGGUCUUCUUUGCAUUUGAUCACUGGUAUUUCAGUUAAGUUUGUCGUUUACUUAAAUUUUUCUUGCUUUCAAUUUCCACUGUUGUUUUUUUUUUAAUAAAAUAAUUUGUUUAACUAGUCAUAGAAAUAAGAGAGAAAAUGGGCCAUUUCUUGACUCAAAGUCAAUUAUAAUUAUCAAAACUUGAGCGGACAUUGCAUGCCUAAAUUCCACGCACCCUAAAACGGUUUGAUUUGCUUUCACGCGUUCAUGAUUUUGCAUGAAAGAGAGUGCCUCUCGUCUCUUUCCGGACAGUGACUACAGUCAUGGAAAAAUUAUGUUAACGUGACGAAUACAAAACGUUAUUACAUACAAGAAUAAGUUUUUGGACCCGAGACUUGAGGGAGGUUCUAUCUAAUUCUAAAGAUUGUAACCAAAGCAUUAUCCCCAAUUUUUUUAAGUUAAAUAAAAUAAAAUUUAUGCUUAAGUAUAAAUAAUUUUUUAAAGUUAAAUAUAAAAUAAAAUUCAUGAACUUCCAAGAAAGAAAGAAGACCCUUCACCUUCUUCGUGACAACAAAUGAUGUUGAUAUGACAAAUACAAGCGCUAGUACAGGGAACAGCAUAAGACCGAGACUUGAUAAAUAUUAAAUAUAUAAAAUAAGUGGAGCAAACGAACAGAAUAAUAGAUUUUUAUAAUAUUCUUCAUAAAAAUCCAAGUUUUGAGCUGGCCCAUAAGCUUAUCUAGUGAAGUCUGGGUAUCCGCGUUGCCCAAGGUUCCGUUUGAAUUCAGGCUGUGCUGAUAUUUAUGACAUCCGACGGAGAGGAAAUAUUUUCAGUUGACUAAAUUAAAUAAAAGUAUAUUAUAAUCAUAUUAUAUAUUAGCAACAAAAAUAAAAAGAAAUGAAGAAAAACGCAUGCAAGACUUAGAGAAGUCAAUUAAAAGAUGGGAGUAUCAUCAGUUCAAUUGGUUAUAAAUAGCGUAGAGCCAUCCUCUCGUUGUUGCAGAAGAGAGACAGAAAGAGUGUGUGUAGGUGAUUAUAAUUAAGAAGAUAUAAUGUGUGGUUCAAAAAGAGUGUGGGUGAGUGAGUUAAUACUCAUAUUAUUAGUAGUAAAAGGGUGGUGGAGUGAGGGAUGUUUGGAGCAAGAGAGGUCUGCUCUCCUCCAACUCAGACAUUUCUUCAAUGAUGAUCAACGUCUUCAAAACUGGGUAGACGAUGAGAAUAAUUUAGAUUGUUGUCAGUGGGAAGGGAUUGAGUGCAACAACACCACUGGCAGUGUGAUUAAAUUAGAUCUAGCACAAACUCGAAAAUGGGAAUCAGCGAAGUGGUAUAUGAAUGCCUCUCUGUUUACUCCCUUUCAACAAUUAGAGUCUCUUGAUCUAAUUGGGAACAAUAUAGCUGAUUGUGUUAAAAACGAAGGUCAUUAAUUUACUCUAUUUUAAUUCUUCCUCCUCGUAAUUUCUUACAUCUAUCUGAUCCCUUUUGGCUUUUGUUUAAUUUGUACGUGAUACAAUAAAAUUAUUUUUUUUCAGGUUUGGAGAGGUUAUCAAGGUUGAACAACUUGAAGUUUCUUUUUUUAGAUGAUAACUACUUCAACAACAGCAUCUUUUCAUCUCUAGGUGGUCUUUCAUCACUCAGACACUUAUCAUUGGCUGUUAAUAGAUUGAAUGGAAGUGAUGAUAUUAAAGGUAAGUAAGCUUCAUCCCUUCUCCCGUGUCCCAUCUUUGUGGAUCUUAUUUCAUCGACCAGCUGGAAGUAUUGAUACGAGAUCUAGCUAGACUCUUGCUAGUUUAAGCUUCAAGGCUUUGAAUAUUAUAAAAAUAGGUUUAAGGAAUUAUCAAUAUAUGCAAUUUUCUAUGCUUCUCAUAAUCAGACACAAUUCAAUCUAAUUAUUUCGUAUGUCCUCUCUUCAAAAGUAAAGAAUUGUACACUAAACGGAAAUCGACAUUGUAGCUUUUUAUUUUUUCUAAUGCUCUUUCUUUGUUAACGAGUUUAUAUCCUGAGAGUGCAUUGGAUUCAAAAAAAAAAAAGUUUUGAUGUUCAAGGUAAGCCAUAAUAACAUGCAUCUUAUUUAUCUGUCUAUAUCUAAAUUUGUGCACUGAAUUUAGUAUUUUAGUUAGUGUGAAGGGAUCAGAUAUUGGCUUCCAUAAACCAACUUGUAUUUACUUAAUUAAUUAAUUAACACCAUUUAGUAUUUAACAAAUUAAAAUUUCGUGUUUAAUUUGUCUUAUUUUUUAUUUUUUGAAGCAAGAAUAAGGUAUAGCAGUAGGUAAAGUUGAAAUACAUAUUUAUUCCUUACAAAUUUAAAUUCGUUUUCAGCCAAAUAUACCUACUUAAAACCACUCAAUCAUGCCAUUGGCAACAGUUUUUUAGGUUUUUCUAGUUAACCGUGUACUUUUUUGCUUAUUAAUAAAAUUCUUUUGUGCUGAGAUUUAAAAUAAAGAAGGAGAAAAUAAGUUAUUUAAUUAACCUUGUUUUAAGUGUUGGCAUAAAUGCAGGACUGAAUUCCUUGAGUAACUUGGAGGAGCUGGACAUGACAGGCAAUGCAAUCGAAAAUCUUGUGGUUCCUAAAGGUAUACAAAAUGUUCAAAUAUUAAUAAUUUGGAGGACAGUUUAAUUGAUUUGAUUAGGGAAUGCCCAAAUGACACUUACCCAAAAUAAUUUAAUCCAAAAUUGUAUCCCAAACAGAUUUCAUAGGUUUGAGGAAGUUGAAUACCCUUAAUUUAGGGGGAAGCGAAAUUCGAAUGAUAGAUGGAAGCAAGGUGUUGCAAUCAAUAGGAUCACUACCGUCCCUCAAAACACUUUGCCUUUCAUAUACUAAUUUUACGGGAACAGUAGUUAAUCAAGGUAAGUAAAUCUUUUAUGUCGAAAAUAAUUGAAUUAAUAUAUAUAGCUAAAAUUUAUUGUUUCUACUUCUUUCUACAUAGAAUUGCACAAUUUCACCAACUUGGAAGAAUUGAUAUUGGGCAAAUCUGAUCUCCAUGUAAGCCAGCUUCUGCCAAGCAUCGCAUCAUUCACUUCGUUAAAGUAUUUGUCAAUGGGAGGUUGUAUACUCACAGGUGCCGUACAUGGUCAAGGUAAAUUAUGGGUAUCUGAAGCUUUUAAAUUUUUUCUUUUAAAUUUUUUAUAUUUUCACUGUCCAAUGGUUCUACCUUCUCUAAAUUGUAGGAUUCUUGAUUAAGGUUAAUGAAAUUUUUGUUCUGUUAUGUUAAGAAUAUUUCGAUCGCUUAGAAGAGUAAAGAAAAAUAAGUAAAUUAACCCAAAAAAAAAAGAAAAGAACAGGACCGGAUUAUCCUUAUUCCCUUGCAUUAUGUGAUCAAUAUCAAAAUUAUAACCAUUUCUUGUUUAUUGCUUGUAGAUUUUCGUAAAUUCAAGAAUUUGGAAAAUCUGGACAUGAAUCUGGUGUAUGUUGACGUCAACACCAGUUUUCUUCAAAUUGUCGGUGAAUCGAUGCCUUCUCUCAAGUUUUUAUCACUGACAGAUUCAAUUCUUAAUAAAAACACCAUUCUUGAUCAAGGUUAAUUAAUGAUUCUCCUUCUCCCUCUCUCGCAUCAUAACUAAAUUUAAUUGAGAAUAUCUAUAAUGCGAGCUAUUUAUAAACUUAAUGAAAGAUGAUAAGGAGCCAUAAUAAUGACAAAAAUAACUGUAAAAUAGUGCACUGUUGUAGUGUUGAUUGAAAAAUAAUGCUAAUUUUUUACUUAACAUUAUAACGCUGUAUAAUUUUACAGUUAUUUUGUUGCCAUUACGUCAGAUUAUACUGUUCAACUAUCAGUGAUCAAACUUAAUUUUUAAUGUGUACUUGAAAGAUAUGUAAUUAUUUAUCUAUGUGUACUGAAGGAUGAAUUAUAUAUUUUUCAGGACUUUGUCAGUUAGUGCAUCUGCAAGAGUUACACAUCGGCGGUAAUGAUUUGAGAGGUAGCUUGCCAUGGUGCUUGGCAAACAUGACAUCCCUUCAAGUGUUAGAUGCCUCUUCUAAUCAACUUACUGGAAACAUCUCCCCAGGCCUUUGUGAGUUGGUGUUUCUAAGAGAGUUAUCCAUUCAUAACAAUGAUUUAAGAGGUAGCUUGCCUUUGUGCAUGGCAAAUUUGACUUCCCUUCGAGUAUUAGAUGUCUCUUACAAUCAACUUACUGAAAACAUCUCAUCUUCCCUCAUGCAUCUAAUAUCUAUGGAAGAGCUCAUAAUUUCAAAUAAUCACUUCUUCCAAAUCCCUAUUUCACUUGAACCACUUUUCAAUCUCUCAAAACUCAAGACUUUCGAUGGUGAAAUAUGCGCAAAAACUGAGUCACAUUAUAAUUCUUUGACCCCAAAAUUCCAACUGACUUCUAUCUCACUAUCUGGUUACAUAGAUGGUGGCACAUUUCCCAAAUUCUUGUACCAUCAGCAUGACUUGAAGAAUGCUGAUCUCUCACACCUUAACUUGAGUGGAAAAUUUCCAAAUUGGUUGCUAGAAAACAAUACGAACUUAGAGACGCUUCUUCUUGCCAACAACUCUCUUUUUGGAUCAUUUCGGAUGCCAAUUCAUUCCCACCAGAAAUUGGCAAUAUUGAAUGUCUCCAACAAUUUCUUUCAAGGCCAUAUUCCGGUGGAAAUCGGAACAUAUCUGCCAGGUUUAACGGAUUUAAACUUAUCUAGAAAUGCUUUCAACAGUAGCAUUCCCUCUUCAUUUGCUGAUAUGAAAAUGUUGAAAAGGUUGGACAUAUCCUACAAUCAGUUGACUGGUGAAAUCCCUGAGCGCAUGGCCACGGGUUGCUUCUCAUUGGAAAUUCUUGCAUUGUCAAACAACAGUUUGCAAGGUCAUAUAUUCUCUAAAAAAUUUAACUUGACAAAUUUGAUGAGGUUGCAGUUGGAUGGUAAUAAAUUCAUUGGAGAGAUCCCAGAAAGCUUAUCUAAGUGCUAUUUGUUGGCAGGAUUGUAUCUGAGUGAUAAUCAUCUCUCUGGUGAGAUUCCAAGAUGGUUGGGUAAUUUGUCAAUUUUAGAAGAUAUUAUAAUGCCCAAUAACAAUCUGGAAGGACCAAUUCCAAUCGAGUUCUGUCAGCUUUAUUUUCUGACGAUUUUAGACCUUUCAAACAAUGCUAUUUUUGGAACCUUACCAUCUUGUUUUAGUCCAGCAUCUAUUGAACAAGUUCAUUUGUCAAAAAACAGGAUAGAAGGACGGUUGGAAAGUAUAAUCCAUGACAGCCCCAAUUUGGUGACAUUAGAUCUCAGUUAUAAUCGCUUACACGGAAGUAUUCCAAAUCGGAUUGAAAGACUACCUAAGUUAAACUACAUUCUUUUGGCUAAUAAUUAUAUUGAAGGCGAAAUACCAGUUCAAUUAUGCCAUUUGAAGGAAGUGCAGUUGAUUGAUCUUUCUCAUAAUAAUCUAUCUGGUCAUAUUCCUCCUUGCUUGGUUAACACUUCACUUAGUGAAGGUCAUCAUGAGGCAGUAGCUCCAACUUCUAGUUUGUUGGGUCAACUGCCUGCCUCACCUCCAUCUGAAUCUGAGGCUGCAAGUGGACCUCCGAUGGGAAAGGAAGAAACUGUACAGUUCACAACAAAGAAUAUGUCCUACUAUUAUCAAGGAAGAAUUUUGACGAGUAUGUCUGGGAUUGAUCUUUCUUGUAACAAACUGACAGGUGAGAUUCCUACUCAAAUUGGAUAUCUUACUAGGAUUCAUGCACUAAAUCUAUCUCAUAACAAUUUGACGGGCACAAUCCCGACAACAUUUUCAAACCUGAAGCAAAUCGAAAGCUUGGACCUCUCCUACAACCUACUGCAUGGGAAAAUCCCUUCUCAGCUCACUGUGCUAACUACAUUGGCGGUCUUCAGAGUAGCAUACAAUAACUUAUCAGGCAAAAUCCCAGAUAGAGUUGCACAAUUUUCAACAUUUGAGGAAGAUAGCUAUGAGGGGAAUCCUUUUCUUUGUGGAUGGCCACUGUCUAAAAGUUGCAAUGAUAGUGGAUUAUCAGCAGUGACACCAGAAGCUUACACUGAAAAUGAAGAAGGUGAUAGUUUAAUUGACAUGGACAGUUUCUUGAUCACUUUUACAGUAUCUUAUGGAAUUGUGAUAUUAGGAAUUAUCGGAGUUUUGUACGUAAACCCCUAUUGGCGGCGAAGAUGGUUUUACCUUGUUGAAGUGUGUAUGACCUCUUGCUACUAUUUUGUGGCAGACAAUCUUGUUCCUAGAAGAUUCUAUGGUGGAUGGAUGUAAUUUCAUUUACUUUACAACUUAUAUGUAAUUUUUAAAGAAUUUUCUUUUGCAUGCAUGGAAUAGCAACUCAAUAAAAGUAUUUGAUGCAAAUUGUCCAAGAACAACUUAGUAAUUUCAUUGCUACUAUUCGGUUGUAUAUAUACAGUUAAUGAAAUUUUUAAUCAUUCGCAGUAGGAAUUUCUUUAGAUGGCGGCCAAAACUAACAGAUUUGGGGCUCUACUUCUACACAUCAUAACAGGCAAAAGGUCUCUCUUUUACACGAUCUGAAUCAUUCAAUAGGUGUCUACUUCUACACAUCAUAACAGGCAAAAGGUCUCUACUUCUACGCCCCCUGGAGUUCUCCAUUAAACUUGACGGUUGAGAUUUCAGGUCCAGAUGAAAGUUAAAUGCAGGCGACGAGACUACACUUUAAGUAAACUGGGACAAACUUAAAAUAAAAAAAACUAUAGUCCAGGGUGAGAGUGAUGGGUAGCUCAACUUAUGGAGGAUAACUAGGACUUGGAAUAACUAUCAGAUUUGCAACUCUUGUAAUAUAUAGUGGGCAUUCAGGUAGCAAUUAUCGCCUUGGGAGUUACCGUAAUCGAUUCAUUUCCUCCUUCAUUUCUGAUGGUAACCCAGCUCUAUACAAGAACAAUAAGAGAAGGUUCCUUUAAGAAAUUUCACAACCCACAAUUUUUUUUUUUCCUUUUUGCCCUGUUCCUCACAAUAAACACACCUAACACACCAAGCCGUGCCCAAAAUAAUCCUAUUUUAUUCAUGUCAUGAAUCCAAAAACUAUCCCAGCUCACUUUGUUUAACCAGCAUAACUAAAUUGUGGGUAUAAAUGAACAGACUUUCGAAGCCUGUAACUUAUAAUAAGCUCAAACCCAAAAAUGACAUUUAAAUCCUGCAAGUGUUUUUCAUCAUCCCUAACAAAAAGAAACAAGAAUAAUUAUAUACCAAUAAUUUUUCCAUAAAAAAUACUGAUUUGAGUUGAAGCACUAUACAAACUGGGUUUUAUUACACUUGCAGAAAGCUACACGGUAGACAAAAUCUAGCAGCUACAUAUUGGUAUCACUUUCAGCUGGUCAUGAAUGGUGUGCAUUCAGCAGUGCACAAUAGACCAUGUCUAUGAAUUGAUUGUCCUAUUACAUAUAAAAGCUGGUCAGAUAUACAAGGAAAAAAAUAAUAAUUGAAAAUGCAUCACAAAAAAUAAGUGUUUCGCAUUAGUGUUUGCACUCUUAAGCAUGGCAAAGUGGUGCAGGGUUCAUGAUUUUGAAGACAAUGAUAAGUGAAAAAUAGUUCAAUCCAUUGAUGAACAUAAAUUUAUUUACAUGUCAAUUUAGAUACCAUCAAAAAGUAAACAGUAAUUCACAGUCACUUAAAAUAGUUGAUAAAAUGCGUGCCAUGAAUGCAUUUUUGUACAUAAGAAAUCCAAAGAGUAUUUCUGACAAUACAAAUAUGCUAGCUUUAAGUCUGCUGUCAAUAUGCAAUUAAGAAGAUUAUACCAGCUGCAUGAUAAAGUUCCCCUAAUCUUAAUAACAAUAAACAUGAACAUGUCAGAUGCAAUUCUAGCUUCGACCAUUUGCAUAACCAGAAAUCCUAACCUGAACAAGCACCAGAAGUGCCUCUCGGACUUUCUCCUUGCUGAUAAAUGGUCCACUGUUCCAAGUAAGAGCAGGAGUAAGAGAUGGUGGAGGGAUUGGUGGUGGAAACGGUUGAAGCACUGGGGCACCAUAUGGGCGUUGUAGACUCAAGGGAGUAUUAAGUGGCAGAGCUGUUGGUGUAGAUGAAGAGACAGGCUGCAUCAUCCCCGCAGAGGAGGAUGGAGGAGGAACAAAGAAUAAGGAAGGCUUUACAAGGUUAGGGGUAGGUGCUGACAGAGGUGGAGAUGGUAUUGCAAGGUUGGCACGAUAGGAGAAGCAACACUGGCGGGAUGAGAAGGUAAAGAAAUAGUUGUAUUGGACUGGUAAGGUUGUGCAGAGAUUGCUGCAUUAGAAGUAUUCCCCACAGUCAAAGCUGUCUGCAAUGAUAAGGACAGAUGUCAUAUACAAGGACAUCAUAGAAGUUGAACCUCACACAAAAAUGAAGUGAUAACAUGUGAAAAUAGUAUAUGACUUGCUGCAUUUUUGUGGUAAUGUUGCAUACUUAUGUAGAAACAUAUUAUUUCAAAGAAAACAUACACUGAAGAAGUUCACAAAAGCAGGAUCUUCAGGAACAUCAACAGCAUUUGAGGGAGUUGACUCUAGAGGACCAUCCAUAACUGCCAUAGUUGGAACAGCUUCCAGUUCCUCAAACUCACUGCAGUUUAACAUAAAAGGAACUUGAUGACCAAUUUAAGUAAUAAUUAGAUGAUAUACGAGGUUAGGGAAAAUGAUGAGUGGACCCUUAUGGAAGGUGAUUUCACCUUAGCUAAACAGGAAAAUAAAAAGAAAUCAAAGCUGAAUCCUCGAGUGCAAUGCAAAGAAUUUUUUCUCUCUUCUCUAACUCCUCUUAUUCAAAAUUGCUCAUCAUUGUGCUGUUCUUCGAGAUUUCGCUAGAGUAGAGAAAGCUAUUCUCCCGUUAAGUGCAGAGGAAAGAGAAGGGCAAAGGCCUGGUAUGAUGCUAUUCUAUAAGAAGUGAGAAAGUGAAGGGCUAAAAUAUUUUGCAAUUUGGAGGUGGUGUUUUUCAGUGUGUGUGCUUCUGAAUUUAUUACCUCUUUAGGAUCCAUAGAAAUUGCCUCUUGUUCAGCAUGCACUGUGCCUACGAGUAAGGCGAGCUUGCAUGGUAUCUAUUGUCUAUUUAUUUGGAUAUUCAAACAGGACUACCAGCAACCAAACACAAAUCCCCAAACAAAACACUCUUUCAAGUGCAAGGAAAGAGUAACUUGGGCAUAUUUAUGGUUCAAGCACUACCAUAACUAAGAAUGUGAUGCUGUCCACAAACACUAUAUCAGUGCCUUUUGAACUACAUCACAUGCUCGAAGACUUUUUUUUUAGUCAUACAUAAAUUAGCUAUAAAAUUAAGACUAUUAUACAACUAAAAAGAAAGAAAAAUUGUUUGCUACUACAUAUCAAAACUGGUAAUAGCAAUGUAAGAUGGCAGACUUCUUACUUAAACAGAUGAGAGGCUGCAAAUAAAAAAUUUGUGCAAAUAAAAUAUAUGAUAAAGAGCAUAAUACUUUCUUGGGGGCUAAAAAUAAUAUACAACUUGUGAAAUAUAAAUUGAGCUACCAUUACCUUUUAGAUGUAGCAACUUUCGACUUUUGAGGCACCUUGGAAUAUGCAUUCAGAAUCCUGCAUUUGGAAGCCAAAUAAAUAAUGUCAACAACAAUUUUACAAUAGAAAAAUUAAAAAUUGAUAAAUGGCAGUUGUAAUUUAUGUAUGUGUAAAGAUAGCAUCACAUCCAGGGUCCUCCCAUAAACAUGCUUGUAACAAGAAUUAGUUUGCCUCAACUGCUAGCAACUAUACAAUAGUAAAAAUCACUCUUAUGAACUCAACAAUACUAGGCACCAAUAAGAGUAUGAUACCGCCAUUCUAAAUGGAAGAGAAUACAACUGUUUUACAACUAUGUCACAUCAGGAGAUAUGCUAGGAGGAUUAAUCCAGAUACCAUCCAACCCAAUUUGGAAAACUCGAGUCAGAAACCAGGAGCUGUAACCAAACCUUACAAUCUUGAAGGAAGAAGGAGACUUGGGGCAUUUUUCCAGAUAGGUGACUUACAAGAUCUCCUGCCAAGAAAAUAUCUAUUGCUUUGAACCUCCAUUGAAAUUUCUUUUCCCUUUUUCUUGUUUUGACUUGGAACUUUCCAGCAUCAUCUAUUUGAUCUUUUUUAAAGCUAAAAUAGCAAUCUAUGGGUUGUCAACAUCUUAUCCCCCCCCCCCCCCCCCUCGGGG